GCGUUCAGGUAAUUGCUGCAUCUUUACGAUGUUGAGGAAAGUCCAUGCUCGCACGGUCUGCGAUGACCGUAGUGUUCGUGCCUAGCGAAGUCAUAAGCUAGGGUAGUUCGGUUUCGACUGAGCUAACGGCAGGGAACGCACCUAAGUCUUUUAGAUAUGGUGUUAAUACCUUGAAAGUGCCACAGUGACGGAGUCUACUCGGAAACGAGUAGAGUGGAACGAGGUAAACCCCACGAGCGAGAAACCCAAAUUUGGUAGGGGAACCUUCUUGAGGGAAUUGAACCAAGAGAAGGACAGGAAGCAACUUCCUGUAGAUAGAUGAUUACCACCCUAGUACGAGGUGAAUAGCCGUUUGCAGUACAAAGGAACAAAACAUGGCUUAUCGAA
RNAcentral lists this RNase P RNA (387 nucleotides) under Anaerobacillus alkaliphilus. RNAcentral describes it as "Bacterial RNase P class B". It matches the Rfam family "Bacterial RNase P class B". From Rfam's summary of the family: Ribonuclease P (RNase P) is a ubiquitous endoribonuclease, found in archaea, bacteria and eukarya as well as chloroplasts and mitochondria. Its best characterised activity is the generation of mature 5'-ends of tRNAs by cleaving the 5'-leader elements of precursor-tRNAs. Lineage: Bacteria; Bacillati; Bacillota; Bacilli; Caryophanales; Bacillaceae. The record is from Rfam by way of RNAcentral.